AGGGCAAAAGAGAGAGCCCCACCCCCACCACGCCUGCCUCCGCCGGGCCCAGCAGGACUCUCUAACACCUGGGGACAUCCUGCUGCUGGGGGCAGGAUAUGCAUUGAGGACUCUUCAUCUAAUAGCCCUGACCCACGCAGAACCUGCUCCCAAGAAUCAAGCUCAGGCUUUUUGGCCACUCAGGUUCCAAGAAAAGCAGCCUUAUGGACUCUCUCAAGUGUGGGCUGCUGAGGAGCUUUCUCAAAAGCCUUUGGAGACAAGCUGAAGAACCCACUCCAAGUUGUCCUGCUGGCUUCCAUGCGGACAUCAUGAAUGUUCCUGAACCAGCUGGAGGCGAGUUUGGAUAUGACAGAGAUACAUCAUUGCUGAAAGAGAUCAGGAGUAGGUGAGGGUCAGGUGCUGGGUCUCCAACCCAGGGGCAGGCUCUUAUCCCAGGGAACUGAAUCAGGGCUGUGGAAACCACAACAGGAACAACUUGAACCAGGAA
Molecule: long non-coding RNA, 487 nt
Filed under: Pan troglodytes (chimpanzee)
Lineage: Eukaryota; Metazoa; Chordata; Mammalia; Primates; Hominidae
Description: long non-coding RNA NONPTRT017854
Source: RNAcentral